This 3352-nucleotide unclassified non-coding RNA is filed under the name Hevea brasiliensis (rubber tree). The record is from RNAcentral. Lineage: Eukaryota; Viridiplantae; Streptophyta; Magnoliopsida; Malpighiales; Euphorbiaceae.
UUUUUUUUUUUUUUUUUAUAACUUUUGCGGGUUUCUGUUUUUCUUCUUUGGAUUUUGGGUUCUUGUUGUUAAAUGGGUCGCUGUUGUUCAGCUGUUCGCUACGGAUCACCAUUGUUGUAUGCCGAUCCAAAUACUGCAACCUAAGGGCAUUUUUACGGCUUCUUUGUAAAUGGUACGGUGAAAUAGAAGCUUUAUGGCCAUUUUUAAGGUUCUUUCCUUCUAGAACUAGCAUCUAAAUGUGUUAAUGGCCAUCACUAGAACUCGUUUUACUCGUAGGAUUGCUUGAAUUCGUAAAACUUUCUGUAACUACAGUCGUCUGAAUUGUUUUUGAGAAUGGCUACAAUGGUCCUUUGCGGUUAUAUUAACAAAUUCAAUUGACUACUAGUUAACCUUCUUCAGCAUAGCUUAUGAACGACAUGAGUUGGUUUCUCGCGAGACCAUUUUCUUAUGUACCCAUAUGAAAAUUUUCACCGAGGACUGAGCUCUCUGUUUCACUUAACCAAAACAUCCAAAUUUCUGCUAUUGCAAUUUGGACAAGAUGUUGUGUGCCUGCUCAGGGGAGCAAUUCAAAUUUGAAGAGGCACCGCAGUCUCCGGAGUCAUUGGCCACAAGGGAUUUCUCGGCAAGCGGCCUUUCAUCUAGGACUGCGGGAGAUUGGGACUCUAAACUCGAGGAUAGUCAGGUGGAUGAAGCUGAAUCAACUCUCAAAGAAGCUCUCUCAUUGAAUUACGAGGAAGCCAGAGCAUUGCUGGGGAGGCUUGAAUACCAGAGAGGGAAUUUUGAUGCUGCUCUUCAGGUAUUCCAGGGCAUUGACGUUAGAAGUUUAACCCCUAAAAUGAUCAAGGCCAUAGCUGAAAGAACUCGGCAAAGAAAGCCACGUUCUAAAGGUGAUAUUGUGCCUCCCACUGUCAUGUCCAUGCAUUCAGUGAGUUUACUUCUUGAAGCAAUCUUACUGAAAGCAAAAUCACUAGAGGAACUUGGGCAUUGUAGAGGUAUGAUAUUUUCACUCCUGCUAGCUUAGAUAAUCAUUUAUGUCAUACUGGGAGUAUUUUGAAUAUGCUUUAGUAGAAUUCAGACUUGAAGGGUGUUAAGAUUCUUUGGAACUUUUUGAAUUGCAUUAGUUUUCCUCAGCAUAUAUAUACAUGUUUGCUUAUCCCCUUUGAGAAUAACUAAAUAUAUACAUGACUGAUAAAGUAUGCAGUUUAUUCAAUUUAUUUUUGUUCCAAAAUUUUUUAAAAAUAAAGUUAAUUUAGUUUUAGCAUAAAUCAUAAGUGGCCCUAUAAUAUGAUUGCAAUGGUUUUAUAUUGAAGGAAUUAUAGUAUUUGAAAUUUAAAACAAAGGGUUCUGAUACUCGCUCAAAUCAUUAGAGGCUGCAAAGGAGUGCAGGAUUAUUUUAGACAUAGUUGAAUCAGCACUACCUAAUGGUAUGCCUGAAGGAGUUGGUGAAGACUGCAAAUUGGAGGAAAUGUUUCACAAAGCAUUGGAGUUUCUUCCAAUUCUGUGGACAAAGGCAGGUUUGAUUGAUGAAGCUAUUAUUGCAUAUCGCCGGGCUCUGGUCAAGCCAUGGAAUUUAGAUCCACGGAGGUUGGCUGGAGUGCAAAAAGACUUAGCUUCCAUUUUACUUUUUGGUGCUGUUGAAGCAAAACUUCCCCCUCACUUACAAACAUGGGGACCAGGGUCCCCCAACAGUAGUACAGAGGAAGCAAUCCUUUUGUUGUUGGUUCUCAUGAAUAAGGUAGCUUAUGGGGAAAUCGAGUGGGAUGAAGAAAUUAUGGAUCACCUGACAUAUGCUCUCUCAAUUAUUGGGCAGUUUGAAUUAUUAGCAGAGCAUGUGGAGCAGGUCCGUCCAGGUGUCUAUAACCGUGCUGAUAGAUGGUACUUUCUUGCUCUUUGUUACAGUGCUGCUGGCCAGAAUGAAACAGCUUUGAACCUUUUAAAGAAAGUUUCUGGUUUUUCAGAAUCAAAGCACAAACCCCAUAUCUCUUCCUAUCUAUUGGGAGCAAAAUUGUGUUCUGAAGAUCCAAAGCAUGCUCAUGAUGGCAUUAAUUUUUCUCAUAAAAUAAUUAACUUGGCUAAUCAUCAAAGUCAACAUUUCAUGGGUGAAGCCCAUAAAUUGCUUGGUGUUUGUUAUGGGAAUGCAGCGAGAAUUUGCUUAUCUGAUUCUGAAAGAAUUCUCCUGCACAAAGAGUCUUUGAACUCUCUAAGCCAUGCUGCUCUAAAUAGGCAGGAGGAUCCUGAAGUAUUGUAUAGCCUUGCACUUGAGAACACACUGCAGAGGAAUCUAGAUGCAGCUUUUGACAAUGCAGUUAUGUACACUGAAACCAUGGCUGGUAACUCUGUGAGAGGUUGGAAGCUACUCUCCCUUAUAGUUUCUGCCCAGCAGCGUUUCAGGGAUGCUGAAAUAGUUGUUGAGUUGGCUUUGGAUGAGUCUGGGAGAAUAGAUCAGUUUGAACUUCUUAGGUUGAAGGCUGUGCUUCAAAUUGCUCAGGAGCAGCCCAAGCUGGCAAUAGAAACAUACAGAAUAUUGCUGUCUCUUAUUCAAGCACAGAGAGAUCUUCAAGACAAGAAUCCUGUUCUCGCUCAUAUCUUUGAGUCUGAGGCACUAGCAGAAAGAAACUUGGAACUGGCAGUGUGGCAAGAUUUGGCUGCCAUUUACUCUAAACUUGGCUCAUGGCCUGAUGCCAAAAUUUGCACGGACAAAGCAAAGUUGCUGGACUUUCAUUCUCCUAGAAGUUGGCACACCACAGGAGUGUUUUUUGAAGCUCAAUCACUGCACAAAGAAGCCCUUGUUUCUUUCUCAGUCUCACUGUCAAUAGACCCAGACUAUGUUCCAAGUAUUGUCUCCACUGCAGACGUGUUGAUGAAACUUGGAAAGCAGUCAUUUCCAGUUGCCAGGAGCUUUUUAAUGAAUGCAUUGCGCUUAGACCCCACAAAUCAUCAAGCAUGGUUCAGUCUUGGCUUAAUUUCAAAAAUGGAAGGCUCAUUACAGCAAGCUGCAGACUUUUUCCAAGCUGCAUACGAGCUCAAGCUGUCAGCUCCUGCGCAAAGCCUAGUAUGAAAAUGGUUUUCCAAUUAUUUCAAGCAGAAAGUACCCAAAACAGGGAUCUCCGUGAAUUAUAUUUAUCAUUAAUUGGCCAUUGAUUGCAAUGGCUCGACAACUAUGCUUAUUCCACUCAGUCACUCACCGUGUCUAGUUAUAGAUUCCCUUGAUUGAUUUGUAUAGCAAAUCCUGCUUUAGGUUUGAAUUACUCCAGUUUAUAUCAUAAAAUUUUUGAGCAUGGCUUUUCAACGAUUCAGAGGAUAACUAUGUUUGGAUUAAAAUUUUUGUUUCAAGUUGAAUACACACAAUUCC